RNAcentral lists this ribosomal RNA (781 nucleotides) under uncultured eukaryote. RNAcentral describes it as "SSU rRNA". It matches the Rfam family "Eukaryotic small subunit ribosomal RNA", at positions 412 to 1251 of the family's 1831-position model. The record is from RNAcentral.
ACAUCCAAGGAAGGCAGCAGGCGCGUAAAUUACCCAAUCCUAACACAGGGAGGUAGUGACAAUAAAUAACUGACGCCGGAUUCAAUGAAUCUGGAAUUGGAAUGAGAACAAUUUAAAUCCCUUAUCGAGGAUCAAUUGGAGGGCAAGUCUGGUGCCAGCAGCCGCGGUAAUUCCAGCUCCAAUAGCGUAUAUUAAAGUUGUUGCAGUUAAAAAGCUCGUAGUUGAAUUUCUGGGAUUUCCGGCGCGUCCACUUCAUUGUGGGCUCACGGGGAUCCUCGCCUUAGGGCGUCAUUUACUGUGAAAAAAUUAGAGUGUUCCAAGCAGGCCUAGCCUGAAUACCUUAGCAUGGAAUAAUAACAUAGGACUGUCUGUGAUGUUGUUGGUUUGCAUCCAGCGGUAAUGAUUAAUAGGGACGAUCGGGGGCAUUUCUAUUCAGCAGUCAGAGGUGAAAUUCUUGGAUUUGCUGAAGAGAAACUGCUGCGAAAGCGUCUGCCAAGGGCGUUUUCAUUAAUCAAGAACGAAAGUCAGGGGAGCGAAGAGGAUUAGAUACCCUCGUAGUCUUGACCAUAAACCAUGCCGACUCGGGAUUGGUGUUCGCCGCAGGGCACAUCAGCACCGUAUGUAAAAACAAAGUCUUUGGGUUCCGGGGGGAGUCUGGUCGCAAGGCUGAAACUUAAAGGAAUUGACGGAAGGGCACCACCAGGAGUGGAGCCUGCGGCUUAAUUUGACUCAACACGGGAAAACUUACCAGGUCCGGACGCAAUGAGGAUUGACAGAUUGA